This 372-nucleotide ribosomal RNA is filed under the name uncultured bacterium. RNAcentral's name for it is "bacterial SSU rRNA". It matches the Rfam family "Bacterial small subunit ribosomal RNA", at positions 527 to 896 of the family's 1533-position model. The record is from RNAcentral.
GUAGGGUGCGAGCGUUAUCCGGAAUUAUUGGGCGUAAAGAGCUCGUAGGCGGUUUGUCACGUCUGUCGUGAAAGUCCGGGGCUUAACCCCGGAUCUGCGGUGGGUACGGGCAGACUAGAGUGCAGUAGGGGAGACUGGAAUUCCUGGUGUAGCGGUGGAAUGCGCAGAUAUCAGGAGGAACACCGAUGGCGAAGGCAGGUCUCUGGGCUGUAACUGACGCUGAGGAGCGAAAGCAUGGGGAGCGAACAGGAUUAGAUACCCUGGUAGUCCAUGCCGUAAACGUUGGGCACUAGGUGUGGGGACCAUUCCACGGUUUCCGCGCCGCAGCUAACGCAUUAAGUGCCCCGCCUGGGGAGUACGGCCGCAAGGCUA